AAAGACUUAGUCCUAACCUUACCGUUAAUUCUUACUCAACANNNNNNUGCAAGUAUCUGCACCCCAGUGUAAAUGCCCUAAGUCCCUUACCAAGGCAAAAGGAGCAGGCAUCAGGCACAACCACAAGGUAGCCCAAGACGCCUUGCUCUGCCACACCCCCACGGGUAUUCAGCAGUAGUUAACAUUAAGCAAUAGGCGCAAGCCUGACUUAGUUAGAGUAAUCAGGGUCGGUAAAUCUUGUGCCAGCCACCGCGGUCAUACAAGAGACCCAAGUUAACCGUUAUACGGCGUAAAGAGUGGAAUAUGACUAUCAUGAACGACUAAGGUUAAACCGCAGCCCAAGCUGUCAUAUGCCCAAGAUGCCUAGAAGCCCCCUCAACAAGUAACCUUAGAAUUAACGAUCGACCUACUCCACGAAAGCCAGGGCACAAACUGGGAUUAGAUACCCCACUAUGCCUAGCCCUAAAUCUUGAUGUUUCUCUCCUACAAAAACAUCCGCCUGAGAACUACGAGCACAAACGCUUAAAACUCUAAGGACUUGGCGGUACCCUAAACCCACCUAGAGGAGCCUGUUCUAUAAUCGAUAACCCACGAUACACCCAACCACUUCUUGCCAAAACAGCCUACAUACCGCCGUCGCCAGCCCACCUUCCUGAAAGUACAACAGUGAGCUUAAUAACCCUUUUUCGUUAACAAGACAGGUCAAGGUAUAGCCUACGAAGUGGAAGAAAUGGGCUACAUUUUCUAAGAUAGAAAAAGCAACGGAAGAGGACAUGAAAUUUGUCCUCAGAAGGCGGAUUUAGCAGUAAAGUGGGAUAAUAACGCCCUCUUUAAGCUGGCCCUAGGGUACGUACAUACCGCCCGUCACCCUCCUCACAAGCAUUAAGUAUACUAAUUAAUUCAUUAAACAGCUGAAGAUGAGGUAAGUCGUAACAAGGUAAGUGUACCGGAAGGUGUACUUAGCAUAC
Molecule: non-coding RNA, 968 nt
Filed under: Strigops habroptila (Kakapo)
Lineage: Eukaryota; Metazoa; Chordata; Aves; Psittaciformes; Psittacidae
Description: 12S ribosomal RNA
Rfam family: Bacterial small subunit ribosomal RNA
Source: RNAcentral